This is a long non-coding RNA of Podarcis muralis (Common wall lizard), 2726 nucleotides long. RefSeq lists it as uncharacterized. Lineage: Eukaryota; Metazoa; Chordata; Lepidosauria; Squamata; Lacertidae. The record is from RefSeq and is a predicted model, not a curated record.
UUAGAGGGGGAAGGUUGGCUGCUGAAAGGGCCUCCGGGCGGGGAGCGGGGCGUCGGAGGGGCAUGUGGAGCCGCUCGGCUGCUCGUCCUGACAGCCGGGAGAGAGGCUUGUGCGGGAGCCCCUGUGCCCCCCCCCGUUGCGGAAGGGGCCUACGUGACACAUCAUAUACUAAGAUACGUUGACAUGAAUGACAGCUGAAUGAUUGGAAUGCUGAUGGUGCCUGGCAGCUGAACUAAAGACUGGCAGGGAUGUUAAGAAGAUUGGUCUUUGAAAUUCCAGUUUGAUCUCAAAAGCGCAUGGCCUCUGAAUUGUUUGGAAACUUUUCUGCAGAGUGCUUUUCAGGUCGAAUUCAACAAUUUAUUCAUGUGCCACAGAUGAUGUACCACCAUCUAGUCUCGGUGUUUCUUGAGAUCAGAGGCGCCACCUUUGCCAGAGGAUUGAGGGUGCCUGUGCACAAUGUCCUGAUGUACUGACGUCAUGGGGGGGGGGGCUCCGAACAUUGAGGGGGCCCAGCUCCUUUAAAAAAAAUAAAUCAGGGGAUCCCACAGUGCUUCAGCCCCUAGGAGCUGGCGCCACUGCAUGGAAUACAAUGGUAAAUUCCAGAGCUAAAGAAAGAUGGAAGCCAUUUCAUUGUACUACUUGCUUCAUUUAUGGAAAAAGAAAUGUUAUUACUCAAGUUAGUCUAGAUUUACACUACCUGGAAAUCCUUCCUUCUGAGAUUAGAGAGUUUCUGUACUUAAACCAGAGAGAAAAAUGAACUACGCACUUGGCCAGGAUACUUCCAUGUAUUCUUGCUUCAAAUCUUCCUCUACCUAAACUGAAGUACACAGAGGUAAAGUACCUGGAUUGCUCAGUUGGUUAGAGUGUGGUGCUGAUAAAACCACGGUUGCAGGUUUGAUCCCUGUAUGGGGCAGCUGCAUAUAUCUGCAUUGCAAGCUGCAUAUUCCUGCAUUGCAGGGGGUUGGACUAGAUUAUCCUCAGGGUCCCUUCCAACUCUAUGACUAGUAAUCGUAAUCUCCAAAGGCUCAACUCUGCCACCAUCUUCCUCCCUUUCUGCUGAUUCUUGUGUCUAUUUUUAGAUGAUGCCCCCUUGAGGUAGCAAACUGUAAAAAAAAAAUAUCAUUCUUUGACUAUAUGGUGCUAUGUUAAACCUAUGCAGGUUGUAUCCAAUGAUGGCUUUGCCUGGAAAGUGCUUCUGCUCAUCUAAGUUGGCUGUGAAAGACAUCUGACACUGAAAGCAGAUUUCUUGGCUAAAGACCCAACCAGCCCCUUAGUCAAAGAUCCUUACAAACCAGCUCAGAUGACAGAGUGAUAAGAGGAAAGCACUCAGUGAAAAGGUACAGAGUAAGGUGGCCAGGUAAAAGAGAGGAUAGGGCUCCUGCACUUUUAAUAGAUGUUCAGAAGACCAGAUUUCAGCAGGUGUGGCUUGCAGGACAAGCCGGAUCUGUUGUGAUUCAUCUACACAACCAUUCAUGCUUCAGGUCCCCCCGUUUCCUGCCCUUUUGUGACACCCCAAAUCAGCUGCUUAAAACAGCUGACCCGUAACGUACGGUGUUAGGUGUUGCUGCUUUUAACCCUGUAAGCUGCUUUAUUUUGCAUUAAAAGUGGUAUAUCUGUGUACUGUUUGGUGAUUUUUGAAAUAUUAAGUAAUAUAUAUGUCUGAGUAUGUAUGUGUGUAUGAACUUUUAAAUAAAAUAAAUAGCAUGGCACAACAGUGAGGCUUUUAAAAAUAUAUAUAUGGGUUUUACAGUUUGGACAGAAAUAAACACCAGUAAUCUUUCAACCCUAGUUCAGCAUCAUUUGUGUAAAAUGGCCUUAAUCUUUUUCUCAAGGGGUCCCUCUCCUGGCUGCUGCUUUGCCUGCAGUACCCAGUAGCUUAAUUAGAAACAAGGGCUGAACAUACUGAAGCAUAAAAAUAAAUAUCUGUAUUAGAUAUUAGAUAUUCUCCAGUUUAGCUGCUGGAGAAACAUGAGAAAGGAACACGCAGAGUUUUACAGUAAAAUGAUAACAGAUGCUAGAAAAGUUCAGCAUAUGGGAGGCUACGUAAUACUGAAAAGUAUGAAACGUUAUGGCUAAAAUAAUAAACCAAAUAUUUGCAGAGAACAUGGGUAACACUAUUCUUCAAAAGGCUGUGUUAUCUUUCAGGGGUACAAGCUUAACAACUAAUAGUUUAUUUAUCAGUGGAGUUUAAAGAUAAAGAGUACUGAGGCUAUUUUGACUACAGUGUGUUAUUGUUAUAAAUAUUUUUUUAAUUAAAAAAUGCCCUUUAAAAAUGAACAGAGAUUUUUUUUUAAUGAGAGUUCUCUGUCAUCUUCUCCAGUAUCACCAAAGGGGACAUAUAACAAUCAGAUUUAUUUAAAUAUAAUAAACUGAGUUUUUUUAAUUCAUCAGACCAAAAAAAAAUAUCCAAAAGUUUAUAUUUAGCAAUACUUUUACUUAAUUAUAUCAUAAGUUAGAUCAGCGUAGUCAAAUACGUCUUACUGAGCAGUGCUGGUCUCCUGAUUAUGGAACUUCCUCCCUAAGUGGGUGCAUUUAUUCCCUAUGUCAAUGAUUUUUAAGCAGGCUUUGAAAACGCUUUCCUCAAAACUGACAUUUUAACACUUGCAUUUAACUGCUGCUUUUAAUGAUUUAUUCUUUGCUGCUUGGUUUUCGUAUUUACACUAAUGUUGUAUUUUUACUGUCAACGAUCAUGUUUUAACUGCAGCUGUCAUUAUAACAUUUUUAUA